AACGUAGGUGGCGAGCGUUAUCCGGAUUCAUUGGGCGUAAAGAGCUUGUAGGUGGCUUUGUAAGUUGGACGUGAAAACUCCGGGCUUAACUUGGAGAGGCCGUUCAAUACUGCGAGGCUUGAGGAUGUCAGAGGGAAGUGGAAUUCCUAGUGUAGCAGUGAAAUGCGUAGAUAUUAGGAGGAACACCCGUGGCGAAAGCGGCUUCCUGGGGCACACCUGACACUGAGAAGCGAAAGCUAGGGGAGCAAACGGG
RNAcentral lists this ribosomal RNA (253 nucleotides) under uncultured bacterium. Its description in RNAcentral is "partial 16S ribosomal RNA". It matches the Rfam family "Bacterial small subunit ribosomal RNA", at positions 524 to 776 of the family's 1533-position model. The record is from RNAcentral.